This 444-nucleotide long non-coding RNA is filed under the name Sus scrofa (pig). Its description in RNAcentral is "lncRNA (ENSSSCG00005033963.1, ENSSSCG00045022824.1)". The record is from RNAcentral. Lineage: Eukaryota; Metazoa; Chordata; Mammalia; Artiodactyla; Suidae.
AUGCUGGAGGCAGCAUUUGGACUCAGGCAGUCGAAUCCCAGAGCCCGAAUCCUGCCGUUCUCACUGUCAUCCUGGAGCUCCAGAGCCUGUGGUCACUCAGCUGGCAACCUCACAGGCAGGCCAGCCCCUCCCCAAGCUCAUUUUCCUUAUGGCCUUGCACUGACCUCAACUUUCUUGGACAUCAAAUGGACCCACUGGGCCGCUCCAGGUGUUUCCUUGCCUCCUCUUCUGAAAAUUCGGGACCGCCAUACAGACACCUCCCGGCUCUUCUGUGUGGUCAGGCGCCCUGUCCAUCUUCCUCGCGCUGACUCUCCAGACUCUUUGGAAAGAGUAAAUCCGUGUGCAGAGCACCUGGCUCCAGAGCUUUGGGGCCUCAGGCCCAGCGUGGAAUCUCGUUUCUGCCUUCUGCAGAGGGCAGCCUGGAGAGCGCCUCCCGCCACCUGA